RNAcentral lists this ribosomal RNA (253 nucleotides) under uncultured bacterium. RNAcentral describes it as "partial 16S ribosomal RNA". It matches the Rfam family "Bacterial small subunit ribosomal RNA", at positions 524 to 776 of the family's 1533-position model. The record is from RNAcentral.
UACGGGGGGGGCAAGCGUUGUUCGGAAUUACUGGGCGUAAAGGGCGUGUAGGCGGCCAACUAAGUCCGACGUGAAAUCCCCAGGCUUAACCUGGGAACUGCGUCGGAUACUGGAUGGCUUGAAUCCGGGAGAGGGAUGCAGAAUUCCAGGUGUAGCGGUGAAAUGCGUAGAUAUCUGGAGGAAUACCGGUGGCGAAGGCGGCAUCCUGGACCGGCAUUGACGCUGAAGCGCGAAAGCUAGGGGAUCAAACGGG